RNAcentral lists this ribosomal RNA (815 nucleotides) under Beltrania rhombica. Its description in RNAcentral is "eukaryotic LSU rRNA". It matches the Rfam family "Eukaryotic large subunit ribosomal RNA", at positions 74 to 917 of the family's 3401-position model. Lineage: Eukaryota; Fungi; Ascomycota; Sordariomycetes; Amphisphaeriales; Beltraniaceae. The record is from RNAcentral.
AUUACCCUAGUAACGGCGAGUGAAGCGGGAACAGCUCAAAUUUGAAAUCUGGCCUUCGGGUCCGAAUUGUAAUUUGCAGAGGAUGCUUUUGGUUAGGUACUUUCCGAGUUCCCUGGAACGGGACGCCUUAGAGGGUGAGAGCCCCGUACGGUUGGAUACCGAGCCUUUGUAAAGCUCCUUCGACGAGUCGAGUAGUUUGGGAAUGCUGCUCUAAAUGGGAGGUAAAUUUCUUCUAAAGCUAAAUACCGGCCAGAGACCGAUAGCGCACAAGUAGAGUGAUCGAAAGAUGAAAAGCACUUUGAAAAGAGGGUUAAAUAGCACGUGAAAUUGUUGAAAGGGAAGCGUUUAUGACCAGACUUUUUCCAGGCGAAUCAUCCGGUGUUCUCGCCGGUGCACUUCGUCUGGUUGAGGCCAGCAUCGGUUUUCGUGGGGGGAUAAAAGCGGUGGGAAUGUGACUCCUCCGGGAGUGUUAUAGCCCGCCGUAUAAUACCUCCAUGGGGACCGAGGUUCGCGCUCUGCAAGGAUGCUGGCGUAAUGGUCAUCAACGACCCGUCUUGAAACACGGACCAAGGAGUCGAACAUUUGUGCGAGUGUUUGGGUGUUAAACCCUCACGCGUAAUGAAAGUGAACGGAGGUGAGAGCCCUUACGGGUGCAUCAUCGACCGAUCCUGAUGUUUUCGGAUGGAUUUGAGUAAGAGCAUAACUGUUCGGACCCGAAAGAUGGUGAACUAUGCGUGGAUAGGGUGAAGCCAGAGGAAACUCUGGUGGAGGCUCGCAGCGGUUCUGACGUGCAAAUCGAUCGUCAAAUCUGCGCA